Molecule: ribosomal RNA, 819 nt
Filed under: Sphaerulina sp. YYA-2020a
Lineage: Eukaryota; Fungi; Ascomycota; Dothideomycetes; Mycosphaerellales; Mycosphaerellaceae
Description: partial large subunit ribosomal RNA
Rfam family: Eukaryotic large subunit ribosomal RNA
Source: RNAcentral
GGGAUUGCCCUAGUAACGGCGAGUGAAGCGGCAACAGCUCAAAUUUGAAAUCUGGCGCAAGCCCGAGUUGUAAUUUGUAGAGGAUGCUUCUGGGUAGCGACCGGUCUAAGUUCCUUGGAACAGGACGUCAUAGAGGGUGAGAAUCCCGUAUGUGACCGGCCCGCACCCUUUACGUAGCUCCUUCGACGAGUCGAGUUGUUUGGGAAUGCAGCUCUAAAUGGGAGGUAAAUUUCUUCUAAAGCUAAAUACCGGCCAGAGACCGAUAGCGCACAAGUAGAGUGAUCGAAAGAUGAAAAGUACUUUGGAAAGAGAGUUAAAAAGCACGUGAAAUUGUUGAAAGGGAAGCGCCUGCAAUCAGACUUCGCGGCAGUGUUCCGCCGGCCUUCUGGCCGGUUCACUCUCUGUCGCGAGGCCAUCAUCGUCUCGGCCCGCUGGAUAAGACCUUGGGAAUGUAGCUCACCUUCGGGGGAGUGUUAUAGCUCAUGGUGAUGCAGCGAGGCUGGGGCGAGGUCCGCGCUUCGGCAAGGAUGAUGGCGUAAUGGUUGUCGGCGGCCCGUCUUGAAACACGGACCAAGGAGUCUAACAUCUAUGCGAGUGUUCGGGUGUCAAACCCCUACGCGUAAUGAAAGUGAACGGAGGUGGGAACCGCAAGGUGCACCAUCGACCGAUCCUGAUGUCCUCGGAUGGAUUUGAGUAAGAGCAUAGCUGUUGGGACCCGAAAGAUGGUGAACUAUGCCUGAAUAGGGUGAAGCCAGAGGAAACUCUGGUGGAGGCUCGCAGCGGUUCUGACGUGCAAAUCGAUCGUCAAAUUUGGGUAUA